Rhagoletis pomonella (apple maggot) is the source of this 798-nucleotide long non-coding RNA. RefSeq lists it as uncharacterized. The record is from RefSeq and is a predicted model, not a curated record. The transcript is spliced from 4 exons. Lineage: Eukaryota; Metazoa; Arthropoda; Insecta; Diptera; Tephritidae.
CAUGAUGCAAUAAUGAAAGGUGUUAUACGUUGGCAACUUCUCGCUCUAAUCCGCCAUCUUGAACUACCUUAGGAGAAACUGUGUUGUUUCUUUGCUAUUUUCACUGAACAUUUCCCAAAAUAUUAGAAAAAUAUUCUGAACAAGCUACAUUGAUUAAAUUUUCGUUGUUCGUUUUGUUCUUAUUCGCUGACAUUUGUUUUCCAAUUGCGUGAAAUUUGGUAAUUUCCUUAGUGUUUCGCUGACCGACCUGUGCUGGUAUUGUGAUUAAGAGCUAAUACACAUUUUUCGGACGAUUCUGCUGUGCUGCGUUCCUGCUCCGCCUGUAUAUUGCUCCGCCCGUAUUUUAUAGUGUUGCAUUCCUGUUGCGCCUUUGCAUUAGUGUGUGCGUUGUGAUUUAGACACGUUGAAAUUUUUUGUAUGCUUCUGCUGUGCUGCGUUCCUGCUCCACCCGUGUAUUAGAUUGCUGCGUUCCUGUUAACAUACAUAUCGUCGCUUAAAGUACAAAACCGCGUAACUGACAUUUGCUGCUAAAAAUUGGAUUCGCUCACACACGUUUUUGGAUCAAUCCUUAUCCAUUCUUCCUGAAAUAUACUAGCCAAAAAUGCGAUUGCUUUUUACAAAAAGAUAACCAUUUUGAAAUAUGAGUGUUUUUACUCUCUAGAAAUUAAUUUAUGCAACCUCGCAUACGUGGGUUUGCAUUAUCUCUAUACGCGGUUUUGCAAUUUAUUGAUACAUGGUUUUGUACUUUAAACGACGAUAUGUAUGUAGAUGUAUGUACAUGUAUAUCACAUAUAUUGA